Molecule: ribosomal RNA, 462 nt
Filed under: Lachnospiraceae bacterium canine oral taxon 024
Lineage: Bacteria; Bacillati; Bacillota; Clostridia; Lachnospirales; Lachnospiraceae
Description: bacterial SSU rRNA
Rfam family: Bacterial small subunit ribosomal RNA
Source: RNAcentral
GAGUUUGAUUAUGGCUCAGGAUGAACGCUGGCGGCGUGCCUAACACAUGCAAGUCGAACGAAGCGUAUGGAAGGAAGUUUUCGGAUGGAAUUCUAUAUGACUUAGUGGCGGACGGGUGAGUAACGCGUGGAUAAUCUGCCUUACACAGCGGGAUAACAAGUGGAAACAGUUGCUAAUACCGCAUAAGCACACAGUAUCGCAUGAUAUAGGGUGAAAAGAUUUAUCGGUGUAAGAUGAGUCCGCGUCCCAUUAGCUAGUUGGAGAGGUAAAGGCUUACCAAGGCGACGAUGGGUAGCCGGCCUGAGAGGGUGAACGGCCACAUUGGGACUGAGACACGGCCCAGACUCCUACGGGAGGCAGCAGUGGGGGAUAUUGCACAAUGGGCGAAAGCCUGAUGCAGCGACGCCGCGUGAAGGAUGAAGUAUUUCGGUAUGUAAACUUCUAUCAGCAGGGAAGAAAAUG